GUAAAAAUAGUUUAAAUAAAAUAAUGGUCUGUGGACCCAUUGAUUCAUACACUUAUGAUUUUUACC
Molecule: transfer RNA, 66 nt
Filed under: Platynereis bicanaliculata
Lineage: Eukaryota; Metazoa; Annelida; Polychaeta; Phyllodocida; Nereididae
Description: tRNA-His
Rfam family: tRNA
About the family: Transfer RNA (tRNA) molecules are approximately 80 nucleotides in length. Their secondary structure includes four short double-helical elements and three loops (D, anti-codon, and T loops).
Source: RNAcentral